AGAGUUUGAUCCUGGCUCAGGACGAACGCUGGCGGCGUGCUUAACACAUGCAAGUCUAAGGAGAAAGUUCCUUCGGGAGCGAGUAAACUGGCGAACGGGUGAGUAACGCGUAGGUAACCUGCCCUUAAGUCUGGGAUAACCCACCGAAAGGUGAGCUAAUACCGGAUAAUAUCUCUCCUCAUCAGAGGUAGGGAUUAAAGAAGGCUUCGGCUUUUACUUUUGGAUGGGCCUGCGUCUGAUUAGUUUGUUGGUGAGGUAACGGCUCACCAAGGCAGUGAUCAGUAGCUGGUCUGAGAGGACGAUCAGCCACAUUGGGACUGAGAUACGGCCCAGACUCCUACGGGAGGCAGCAGUGGGGAAUUUUGCGCAAUGAGCGAAAGCUUGACGCAGCAACGCCGCGUGAUCGAAGAAGCUCUGCGGAGUGUAAAGAUCUGUCAUAGGGGAAGAAAAAUUCCGUUAUUAACACCAUCGGAACGUGACGGUACCCUAUAAGAAAGCCCCGGCUAACUUCGUGCCAGCAGCCGCGGUAAUACGAGGGGGGCUAGCGUUGUCCGGAUUUAUUGGGCGUAAAGAGUUCGUAGGCGGGUCAGUCAGUCGAAAUUGAAAUCCCACGGCUUAACCGUGGACCCGGUUUCGAUACUGCUGAUCUUGAGUGAGACAGAGGUAAGCGGAAUUCCUGGUGUAGCGGUGAAAUGCGUAGAUAUCAGGAGGAACACCGAAGGCGAAGGCAGCUUACUGGAUCUAUACUGACGCUGAGGAACGAAAGCGUGGGGAGCAAACAGGAUUAGAGACCCUGGUAGUCCACGCUGUAAACGAUGAGUACUUGGUGGUGGGGGAUUCGACCCCUUCACUGUCGGAGCUAACGCGUUAAGUACUCCGCCUGGGGACUACGACCGCAAGGUUGAAACUCAAAGGAAUUGACGGGGACCCGCACAAGCGGUGGAUUAUGUGGUUUAAUUCGAUGCAACGCGAAGAACCUUACCUACCCUUGAAAUCCAGCGAAGUUCCUAGAGAUAGGAAUGUGCCUUCGGGAACGCUGUGACAGGUGUUGCAUGGCUGUCGUCAGCUCGUGUCGUGAGAUGUAUGGUUAAGUCCAGUAACGAGCGCAACCCCUAUCCUUAUUUGCCAGCGCAUAAUGGCGGGAACUAUAAGGAGACUGCCGGUCAUAAACCGGAGGAAGGCGGGGACGACGUCAAGUCAUCAUGGCCCUUAUGGGUAGGGCUACACACGUGAUACAAUGGGUGGUACAGAGGGUCGCCAAAGCGCGAGCUGGAGCCAAACCCUUAAAACCAUUCUUAGUCCGGAUUGGAGUCUGCAACUCGACUCCAUGAAGUUGGAAUCGCUAGUAAUCGCGAAUCAGAAUGUCGCGGUGAAUACGUUCUCGGGCCUUGUACACACCGCCCGUCACGUCAUGGAAGUGGGUUGCACCAGAAGUGGCUUGUUUAACCUUCGGGAAAACGGUCACCACGGUGUGAUUCGCAACUGGGACGAAGUCGUAACAAGGUAACC
Molecule: ribosomal RNA, 1509 nt
Filed under: uncultured Fidelibacterota bacterium
Lineage: Bacteria; Pseudomonadati; Fidelibacterota
Description: uncultured Candidatus Marinimicrobia bacterium partial 16S ribosomal RNA
Rfam family: Bacterial small subunit ribosomal RNA
Source: RNAcentral